GACGAACGCUGGCGGCGUGCCUAAUACAUGCAAGUUGAGCGCUGAAGGUUGGUACUUGUACCAACUGGAUGAGCAGCGAACGGGUGAGUAACGCGUGGGGAAUCUGCCUUUGAGCGGGGGACCACAUUUGGAAACGAAUGCUAAUACCGCAUAAAAACUUUAAACACAAGUUUUAAGUUUGAAAGAUGCAAUUGCAUCACUCAAAGAUGAUCCCGCGUUGUAUUAGCUAGUUGGUGAGGUAAAGGCUCACCAAGGCGAUGAUACAUAGCCGACCUGAGAGGGUGAGCGGCCAGACUGGGAGGGAGACACGGCACAAUCGCCCUGGGGAGGCGGCAGUAGGGAAUCGUCGGCAAGGGGCGAAAGUCAGAGCGAGAUACGCCGCGGGAGGGAAGAAGGAUGUCGGAUCGUAAAACUCUGUUGGUAGAGAAGAACGUGGUUGAGAGUGGAAAGCUCAUCAAGUGACGGUAACGACUAAGGAAGGGACGGCUAACUACGUG
RNAcentral lists this ribosomal RNA (497 nucleotides) under uncultured bacterium. RNAcentral describes it as "partial 16S ribosomal RNA". It matches the Rfam family "Bacterial small subunit ribosomal RNA", at positions 28 to 507 of the family's 1533-position model. The record is from RNAcentral.